UGUUUCGCAGAUCUUUGGGAAGGCUCCAAGCAAGGGAGUCAAUCCGGAUGAGGCUGUUGCGAUGGGAGCUGCGAUCCAGGGUGGUAUUCUCCGUGGAGAUGUGAAGGAGCUUUUGCUCCUAGAUGUUACUCCACUUUCCCUUGGAAUUGAGACCCUGGGUGGUAUAUUCACCAGACUGAUCAACAGAAACACAACAAUUCCAACAAAGAAGAGUCAGACAUUCUCCACUGCAGCCGACAACCAGACCCAGGUUGGUGUCCGUGUGCUUCAAGGCGAGCGUGAGAUGGCUGCAGACAACAAACAGCUGGGCGAAUUUGAGCUCAUGGGCAUCCCACCUGCCCCUAGAGGCAUGCCACAGAUUGAAGUCACGUUCGAUAUCGACGCCAACGGGAUUGUGACAGUUUCUGCCAAAGACAAAAACACCGGAAAGGAGCAGCAGAUAACCAUCAAAUCUUCCGGCGGUCUAUCCGA
This 471-nucleotide unclassified non-coding RNA is filed under the name Hevea brasiliensis (rubber tree). The record is from RNAcentral. Lineage: Eukaryota; Viridiplantae; Streptophyta; Magnoliopsida; Malpighiales; Euphorbiaceae.